Molecule: ribosomal RNA, 253 nt
Filed under: uncultured bacterium
Lineage: Bacteria
Description: partial 16S ribosomal RNA
Rfam family: Bacterial small subunit ribosomal RNA
Source: RNAcentral
UACAGAGGGGGCAAGCGUUGUUCGGAAUUACUGGGCGUAAAGGGCGCGUAGGCGGCCUGCUGAGUCGAACGUGAAAUCCCUGGGCUCAACCCAGGAACUGCGUCCGAUACUGGUUGGCUUGAAUCCGGGAGAGGGAUGUGGAAUUCCAGGUGUAGCGGUGAAAUGCGUAGAUAUCUGGAGGAAUACCGGUGGCGAAGGCGGCAUCCUGGACCGGCAUUGACGCUGAGGAGCGAAAGCUAGGGGAGCAAACGGG